GACGAACGCUGGCGGCGUGCUUAACACAUGCAAGUCGAACGGAAAGGCCCUGCUUUUGUGGGGUGCUCGAGUGGCGAACGGGUGAGUAACACGUGAGUAACCUGCCCUUGACUUUGGGAUAACUUCAGGAAACUGGGGCUAAUACCGGAUAGGAGCUCCUGCUGCAUGGUGGGGGUUGGAAAGUUUCGGCGGUUGGGGAUGGACUCGCGGCUUAUCAGCUUGUUGGUGGGGUAGUGGCUUACCAAGGCUUUGACGGGUAGCCGGCCUGAGAGGGUGACCGGCCACAUUGGGACUGAGAUACGGCCCAGACUCCUACGGGAGGCAGCAGUGGGGAAUAUUGCACAAUGGGCGGAAGCCUGAUGCGGCAACGCCGCGUGCGGGAUGACGGCCUUCGGGUUGCAAACCGCUUUCGCCUGUGACGAAGCGUGAGUGACGGUAAUGGGUAAAGAAGCACCGGCUAACUACGUG
This 468-nucleotide ribosomal RNA is filed under the name uncultured bacterium. RNAcentral's name for it is "partial 16S ribosomal RNA". It matches the Rfam family "Bacterial small subunit ribosomal RNA", at positions 28 to 507 of the family's 1533-position model. The record is from RNAcentral.